This 917-nucleotide ribosomal RNA is filed under the name Thyrostroma celtidis. RNAcentral describes it as "SSU rRNA". It matches the Rfam family "Eukaryotic small subunit ribosomal RNA", at positions 139 to 1064 of the family's 1831-position model. The record is from RNAcentral. Lineage: Eukaryota; Fungi; Ascomycota; Dothideomycetes.
UUGGAUAACCGUGGUAAUUCUAGAGCUAAUACAUGCUAAAAACCCCAACUUCGGGAGGGGUGUAUUUAUUAGAUAAAAAACCAACGCCCUUCGGGGCUUCUUGGUGAUUCAUGAUAACUUCACGGAUCGCAUGGCCUUGCGCCGGCGACGGUUCAUUCAAAUUUCUGCCCUAUCAACUUUCGAUGGUAAGGUAUUGGCUUACCAUGGUUUCAACGGGUAACGGGGAAUUAGGGUUCGAUUCCGGAGAGGGAGCCUGAGAAACGGCUACCACAUCCAAGGAAGGCAGCAGGCGCGCAAAUUACCCAAUCCCGACACGGGGAGGUAGUGACAAUAAAUACUGAUACAGGGCUCUUUUGGGUCUUGUAAUUGGAAUGAGUACAAUUUAAACCUCUUAACGAGGAACAAUUGGAGGGCAAGUCUGGUGCCAGCAGCCGCGGUAAUUCCAGCUCCAAUAGCGUAUAUUAAAGUUGUUGCAGUUAAAAAGCUCGUAGUUGAAACUUGGGUCUGGCUGGCAGGUCCGCCUCACCGCGUGUACUUGUCCGGCCGGGCCUUUCCUUCUGGAGAACCUCAUGCCCUUCACUGGGCGUGUUGGGGAACCAGGACUUUUACUUUGAAAAAAUUAGAGUGUUCAAAGCAGGCCUUUGCUCGAAUACGUUAGCAUGGAAUAAUAGAAUAGGACGUGCGGUCCUAUUUUGUUGGUUUCUAGGACCGCCGUAAUGAUUAAUAGGGACAGUCGGGGGCAUCAGUAUUCAAUUGUCAGAGGUGAAAUUCUUGGAUUUAUUGAAGACUAACUACUGCGAAAGCAUUUGCCAAGGAUGUUUUCAUUAAUCAGUGAACGAAAGUUAGGGGAUCGAAGACGAUCAGAUACCGUCGUAGUCUUAACCGUAAACUAUGCCGACUAGGGAUCGGGCGAUGUU